This 450-nucleotide ribosomal RNA is filed under the name uncultured bacterium. RNAcentral's name for it is "partial 16S ribosomal RNA". It matches the Rfam family "Bacterial small subunit ribosomal RNA", at positions 338 to 795 of the family's 1533-position model. The record is from RNAcentral.
CCUACGGGGGGCAGCAGUGGGGAAUUUUGGACAAUGGGCGCAAGCCUGAUCCAGCCAUGCCGCGUGAGUGAAGAAGGCCUUCGGGUUGUAAAGCUCUUUCGGCCGGAACGAAAUCGUCCGGGCUAAUACCUCGGAUGGAUGACGGUACUGGAAGAAGAAGCACCGGCUAACUACGUGCCAGCAGCCGCGGUAAUACGUAGGGUGCAGGCGUUAAGCGGAAUUACUGCGCGUAACGCGCUAACAGGGGGCUGAAAUCCCCGGGCUUAACCUGGGAACUGCGUUUGAAACUGGGAGGCUGGAGUGCGGCAGAGGGGGGUGGAAUUCCACGUGUAGCAGUGAAAUGCGUAGAUAUGUGGAGGAACACCGAUGGCGAAGGCAGCCCCCUGGGCCUGCACUGACGCUCAUGCACGAAAGCGUGGGGAGCAAACAGGAUUAGAUACCCGGGUAGUC